GGCGUUAGGUGUAGGGUGGGUUCUAGGGUUUCAACUCUAGAUUUUGUGGGAAGAAAAUGCAAGAGUACAUCUUGUUCUAUCUCCCACACCAUCAUCUUCUUGUAAAGCUUCAUCUUCUAAUCUGGAGGAGCCCAAGAGAUCUAAAGAAAGGAGCUUGGAUCAGCCAUCCAGAGCCUUCAAUGCGAGCUAGCACUCCCAUGAAGAAAGAUCCGAUCAGGGCUUCGAG
Molecule: long non-coding RNA, 226 nt
Filed under: Elaeis guineensis (African oil palm)
Lineage: Eukaryota; Viridiplantae; Streptophyta; Magnoliopsida; Arecales; Arecaceae
Description: long non-coding RNA (EGUI_LNC050527)
Source: RNAcentral